AAUCCAGGCGGCGCUGAUGUCGCUUCUCUACAUGCAUACUUUGUAUCACUGAUUUUAACAUACACAACUAAAGAUAUUGUGAAAAUUUGUCGUCGCGUUUUUCAAUUGUUUCAAAAUUUAAAGAGACUGAAGAAAUAUGGCGCAUAGUGGGUGACAGUGGUGACAGAAUUUCCAGGUUCGUGAAUUCCAUUAUUAUAAUUAUUACUACUAUUAUUAUUACUAUUGCUAUUAUUAUUAUGACUAUUAUUAUUAUUUAAAAAGAUAUUUUUUAAAAUUUUUUCUACGUUUUUAAGUUUUUCAAUAACUUCUGUUGAUGAGAUGCAGCAACAGGAGGAGAAGGUAGAAAUUAAAAAGAGGAAGAAAAUAUGCAGCAUCAGGGGGUGUAUUAACGAAAACAACAGGAUGUUCUUCUUCCCCCAAGAGAGAAAGGAUAAGAAGAGGAUGGUACAGUGAGUGGAAGUAUGCGACAACCCAAAGUCUGUGCUUCCACCUGAAAACUGAAAUUCUGGGUGAUCUGUAGCAGCUACUUUAAAUAAAAGUACUUCAUGAGUAAAAGAUUAACAACAUCAGCAGUUCCAACACUGAACUUAUUUGAGGCUGUAAUAAAUAUUGCAUGUCAGAGGCCGCCUCUAUUAAAAUAGAGGAACAAGAUACCUGGAUGCAAAUGAAAAGAAGAAGAAGAUUGU
Long non-coding RNA from Osmia bicornis bicornis, 686 nucleotides. RefSeq lists it as uncharacterized. The record is from RefSeq and is a predicted model, not a curated record. Lineage: Eukaryota; Metazoa; Arthropoda; Insecta; Hymenoptera; Megachilidae. The transcript has 3 exons.